Molecule: long non-coding RNA, 786 nt
Organism: Benincasa hispida (wax gourd)
Lineage: Eukaryota; Viridiplantae; Streptophyta; Magnoliopsida; Cucurbitales; Cucurbitaceae
Source: RefSeq, a predicted model, not a curated record
GCCGGCGCCGCUCCAGCUUUUGACCGCCGCGUGCCGCACCAAUCUCGCCAGCCGGAGGAGCCAUCUGAGUCGCCACCGCCUGCUUCGCCCUCACGCCGCUCGAUCCGUCUAGUUCCACUGCUGACCGUUCGCACGUCGCCAACCCAGCCACCGAUCUCCGUCGGUCACUGCCUUCCUUCACCGCCGUUUGUCGGAUUUUGGCUUGUGGUGAAGUUUUGGAUUCAAGCAUUGAAGGAAUUUUAAGGUCGAAAUGUGUUGUCAGACAUUGCGCAGGAUUAAGUUGGGUUCGCAAAUGGAUUUGAGUUUGAAACUAAUUUUGGACUAAGCAACAUUUUGAUUAAGGCAUUUAUUUGAGAGACUGAAGACAAUUUGGAACAAACUACACUUUGGGCUUUAGAUUCAAGUUUUGGAGAACUUUUGAAUUUAGACGCGAACGACUUGAGUUUGAUUCCAACAAAAAUUUGGUGUUAUAAAUUUGAGGUCAUCUUGGUCUAACCACUUUUGGGAUCUCAUUCAAAAGUUGUGGAAAGUUAGAAAGGAGUUUGUUCGCUUGACUUAACUUUUGGACUUUAUUUGAGGAAAAGGUAAAGAUGUACCGGUGAUGGCGUAGCGGAAUUCAUGAUCGUGUCACUGGGACUAGACCUUUUCGCUUUCGCAUCUUGAAAUCUGUUAUUUGGUUUCACUGUUUAAAAUUUAUUACUAAGGAUUAUUUCUUCUAUAUGACUUUGAUUAGCCUUUAAGAAUUUUGGAUACCCUAUUAAUUGUUUUAACAAUUGCAUUUAAUAA